This 491-nucleotide ribosomal RNA is filed under the name uncultured bacterium. RNAcentral describes it as "bacterial SSU rRNA". It matches the Rfam family "Bacterial small subunit ribosomal RNA", at positions 28 to 518 of the family's 1533-position model. The record is from RNAcentral.
GAUGAACGCUAGCGGCAGGCCUAACACAUGCAAGUCGAGGGGUAUAGGGAGCUUGCUUCCUAGAGACCGGCGCACGGGUGCGUAACGCGUAUGCAAUCUACCUUGUACAGGGGAAUAGCCCAGAGAAAUUUGGAUUAAUGCCCCAUAGUAUUAUUAAAUGGCAUCCUUUAAUAAUUAAAGUUCCAACGGUACAAGAUGAGCAUGCGUCCUAUUAGUUAGUUGGUGUGGUAACGGCAUACCAAGACGAUGAUAGGUAGGGGUCCUGAGAGGGAGAUCCCCCACACUGGUACUGAGACACGGACCAGACUCCUACGGGAGGCAGCAGUGAGGAAUAUUGGACAAUGGGCGCAAGCCUGAUCCAGCCAUGCCGCGUGCAGGAAGACGGUCCUAUGGAUUGUAAACUGCUUUUAUACAGGAAGAAACACUGGUUCGUGAACCAGCUUGACGGUACUGUAAGAAUAAGGAUCGGCUAACUCCGUGCCAGCAGCCGC